CAAAGGCUUGGUCCUGACUUUGCUAUCAGCUCUAGCUAUAUUUACACAUGCAAGUAUCCGCGCCCCUGUGAGGAUGCCCUAACAAUCCCCUGCCCGGGGACAAGGAGCAGGCAUCAGGCACAACUUGUUUAGCCCAUAACGCCUUGCACCGCCACACCCCCAAGGGAAUUCAGCAGUGAUAAACAUUAAGCCAUAAGUGAAAACUUGACUUAGUUAAAGCUAACAGAGCCGGUAAAACUCGUGCCAGCCACCGCGGUUAUACGAGAGGCCCAAGUUGAUAGCCACCGGCGUAAAGCGUGGUUUAAGUAAAAGACAUCAAUAAAGCCGAAGGCCCUCAAAGCAGUCAUACGCAUUCGAGAGGCAGAAGCACAAUAACGAAAGUGGCUUUAAUAUACUUGACCCCACGAGAGCUAUGACACAAACUGGGAUUAGAUACCCCACUAUGCUUAGCCCCAAACCUUGAUAGCACAUCACAUAUGCUAUCCGCCCGGGAAGUAAGAGCAUAAGCUUGAAACCCAAAGGACUUGGCGGUGCUUUAGAUCCCCCUAGAGGAGCCUGUUCUAGAACCGAUAAUCCCCGUUCAACCUCACCUUUUCUUGUUCCCCCCCCCGCCUAUAUACCGCCGUCGCAAGCUUACCCCGUGAUGGAUAAAUAGUAAGCAUAAUUGGCAUAGCCCAAAACGUCAGGUCGAGGUGUAGCGUAUGAGAAGGGAAGAAAUGGGCUACAUUCCCUAAUCAGGGAAUACGAAUGAUGCCCUGAAAAAAUGCAUCUGAAGGAGGAUUUAGUAGUAAGGGGGAAGCAGAGCGUCCCCCUGAAACUGGCCCUGAAGCGCGCACAUACCGCCCGUCACUCUCCCCAAGCGUUCAAACUUUUUAAAUAAAAUGCUAGGCCAGCAAAGGGGAGGCAAGUCGUAACAUGGUAAGUGCACCGGAAGGUGUGCUUGGCAAAA
This 949-nucleotide ribosomal RNA is filed under the name Bellator egretta (streamer searobin). RNAcentral's name for it is "12S ribosomal RNA". It matches the Rfam family "Bacterial small subunit ribosomal RNA". The record is from RNAcentral. Lineage: Eukaryota; Metazoa; Chordata; Actinopteri; Perciformes; Triglidae.